AUGUGGGUGGUGGCUUACAAAUGUUGAAAGCUGGUGAAGAAGCAAAUGAUAAUGAUAUUUGUAGGCCUUGGUUAAUUGAAAAUCAAAUCAACCAUGCAGAGAUUGCGCCUUUAUCAGGCUAUAACCCAUCUAAUGCAGAAUUAGGGAUGAACAUCUCACAGAUGUGCACAGCUGGUGGAGAAGCAAAUGGUAAUAAUAUUCAUGUGCCUUGGGUAUUUGGAAAUCAAUUCAUCCAUGCAGGUAGUACACCUUUCUUAGGCCAUGACCCAAUUAAAGAAGAAUUGAGAAUGAAUAACAGUUUUAUGGCAGGUGUAGCUCAAUCGAAUCAUCCUGAAAUGCUUGAUGGG
RNAcentral lists this unclassified non-coding RNA (347 nucleotides) under Hevea brasiliensis (rubber tree). The record is from RNAcentral. Lineage: Eukaryota; Viridiplantae; Streptophyta; Magnoliopsida; Malpighiales; Euphorbiaceae.